This 424-nucleotide unclassified non-coding RNA is filed under the name Hevea brasiliensis (rubber tree). Lineage: Eukaryota; Viridiplantae; Streptophyta; Magnoliopsida; Malpighiales; Euphorbiaceae. The record is from RNAcentral.
GCUGCGCUUCUUCCAUUCCCAAGAGGUAUGGAUCUAGUAGAACGAGGAGGGUUGGUAGCAUUCUAGAGGUUGCGGUCUUCACACCGGCGAUUCGUGUCCCCUUGCCGUCCGAUCUCGCCAGACCGCUCAGAGGGGUGGUGCCUCGGGAGGUCGCUGACAGGCUGUCGGAGCUCAGGGGACGGAUUGUAUCUCUAUCAAGAAAUGAUAUUUCGAACGUGGCUGAUGUUCUGGAGCUACAGAGUGCAAUUCAGGAGUAUUUGCCGGUUCUUCUUGGUUUGACAACAGAAGAGUACCGGCUUGAGACUUUGGUGGAGUUCAAGUGGAAGAGUCUUGGAGAUGACGGGAAAGAAACUAGUUUGUCUAGUGCUUGGUAUGAAUUGUUGUCAGUUGUUCACAUGAUGGCCAUGUUGUUUUUACUGCAAGC